Molecule: ribosomal RNA, 446 nt
Filed under: uncultured bacterium
Lineage: Bacteria
Description: bacterial SSU rRNA
Rfam family: Bacterial small subunit ribosomal RNA
Source: RNAcentral
CGAACGGGUGAGUAACGCGUAGGCAACCUGCCCUCCGCCGGGGGACGAACACGUCCCAAAGGGGUGCUAAUACCGGAUACGAAGUCUGUGCCGCAUGGUACGGAUUUGAAAGAUGGCCUCUAUUUAUAAGCUAUCGCCGGGGGAUGGGCCUGCGUCCGAUUAGCUGGUUGGUGGGGUAACGGCCUACCAAGGCGACGAUCGGUAGCCGGUCUGAGAGGAUGAACGGCCACAUUGGGACUGAGACACGGCCCAGACUCCUACGGGAGGCAGCAGUGGGGAAUCUUCCGCAAUGGGCGCAAGCCUGACGGAGCAACGCCGCCGUGAGUGAGGAAGUUCUUCGGAACGUAAAGCUCUGUUGUUCCUGACGAACCUCCCUUCUAUCAACAACGGAGGGGACUGACGGUAGGGAACGAGGAAGCCACGGCUAACUACGUGCCAGCCGCGGC